This 25933-nucleotide long non-coding RNA is filed under the name Theobroma cacao (cacao). RNAcentral describes it as "long non-coding RNA (TCAC_LNC003249)". Lineage: Eukaryota; Viridiplantae; Streptophyta; Magnoliopsida; Malvales; Malvaceae. The record is from RNAcentral.
AAGAACAAAGGAAGAAAAGAAAGAACAAGAACCCUAGGGUGAAAAUUUAAGAGAAAAUUGAUGGAUUUCAAGUAAUAAAACAAUCAAAGGUAAAAUUUCUUGAUUUUGGCUUAUGAUCUACCUUUCCCAUACAUUCUUUUGCAUUUUUCAUGGUUGAAUCACAUGAUUUCCUGAUGGGUAUCUUGCUGGCUGAACACAUAGAGAGAGGUUUUGAUGCUUGAUUUAGUUAGAUUUCAAUGUAUUUUAGUGGUUUUAGUUGAUUGGUGAUGUGUAGCAUGAAAAUCAAGCAAGAAAAAUUCAUGUUCUUCCAUCACCCAUCAUUGGCCGAAUUCUCCAUGUGGAAUAUUAAGGAUGAUUUUGAUUUUAUUUCAAGUGAUUCGGUUAGGAAUUAGUGAUUUAUGGUGUGAGAAUCAAGUAGGAAAAAUUAUAGUGUUGAUGCACCCACCAAGGCCGAAUUUUCCAAAAGAAAAUGUGAGGAUGAUUUUGUCAUAUUUCAAGUCAUUUAAUUUGUGUUUGAUGAUUUAGAGAAUUGGAAGAAAAAUGGAAUUAUUUGGAGUUAAAUUGGACAUAUUGGCCAAUUAAUCGAGUGAUAGAUCGAAUUAGGCCAAUAUCGUUUUAUUUAGGUGCACAAUUGAAUUUGUGUAGAACACUGUGUUUAGACGAUAAUCCGAACAAUUUACAUCCCAUUUCAUGCAUUAGUAUAAAGCCUGAAUUGGUUUUAUAACAAUUUAGCACAAAUGUAGUAAAUGGCUUAUUGUGUAUUAUGUCUAGGUGGUGAGCAUUUUGGCAAAAGUAAAGAGAUAGUACCCGAGGAUCAAGAAUCGGAGUACUCAAAAUUCGACUCCCAAAAUAGUGAGUAACCUUACUAUCGUUUUAAUUAUCUAAAGUGGUUUUUAUCUGAUUUUGUGAUUUUAUGAAAAAUGUGUUUAAAUAGUAAAUCUUUAUGUUUUAUAAACAAAAUGUGUUUAAAUGGAAUGAUUUUAUAAAUUGUCUUGAAAUUGAAUGAUGCCUUCGAAAAUAGAGCAAUUGGAGACCAUUUGAUGUAUUGUGAAUUUAUGGUUCUAAUUGAUUGGCUUAUGGCAAUAUUGGCAUGAAUGGCUGAAUUGGUAUUUGUGUUGAAAAUGUAUAAACUGUUGUUUGCCUUGAUAGGCUGGAUAAUGAUAAAAUUGUCAUGUCAUGCUAUUUAAUUUUAUUGAAUUUGUGGGUUAUUGAUUAGUCACUGCAGUGGACAGGUUCCGCGGACUAGCUUAUUAGAGGGGACACGGUAACCUUAUUAUAUUCAUACCUCAGUAUGAGAGGCGAGGUUGGAUAACUCUUGAGGUUCACACUUUAGAGUUCACUUCAUGCCAAACCACCACGUGAGGGUGAACUCAGCCAACGCCAAGGAACGACUAUGUUUUCAAAAUAAAAACAUGAUUUUUGCGUACAUAACUUUUUAUUAGCCUUGGCGGACUCGGUUGGGAUAACCUUCGGCCAAGGUAUCCCUGAUAACUGAGUAUGAGAAUGAUUUUGGCAUGAGCCAAAGUUUUAAGAAAUUCAUAAGCCAUGUUGAUUACUCGAUUUAUAUGAAUUGAUUUUAUUUGGUUGAAAUGAGUUGAAAGGUGAUGAAUUAUAGUAUGUUAAACUAUUUUAUUUGUCUCCAUUUACUCAACUUUAGAUAUUUUAAAUGAUAUUUGUUUACUCACUGGGAUUAUAUAAUCUCACCACCCUCCUUUCCACCCAUUUCAGGCUCAAGAUAGUCGGUAAAUAGCUCACUUUGUUGAAGGCUACAGUUGGACUUACAUCCUAAAAAAUUGUAGGUUUAUUGCUUUUAAUACUUUUGGUCGUUCGUGGGCCCAUAUGUCAUUGUAAAUUAAAUUUUAUACUUUGGUUAUCUGUAUUACAGUAUGUAUGAAUUUAUUUAACUUUUACGCUACAAAAAUUAUUUAUCGGGAACUCUAUAAAUAUUGUUUUAUAAGAAAAUAAAAUAUUUUAUUGAAUAUUUUUAUUAUAUUCAAAUAGUUAUAGUUUCACUUUAAAUGAAUGUUUUAGACAUCUAAACUUAUUUUUUAUUAUGAAAUAUGUGUUUUAUACUCGCAUACUACAUUUUUAGCUAGUUUUGAAAUUUUAAGAGAAAAAUGACCAAAAUGCCCCUGUGAGAAAAAAAUUAUUUAUCUAUUGUUUUGAUUUGAAAAUAGUUUAUAGUCUCUCAAAACAUGAUACUUAAUAACUGUUGCUCAUAGGGGAGGUGCGAAAACUGAUAUUAAAGUCUUACGGGGUUUCGGUUGGUAUUUUAGGUAAUGAAUGUCUAUCAGAACAACGUGGCGAUUGUCACGGGCUCGAGGAGAGUACCGGGUCAUGACAAUAUAUCCUUGUAUUACAAUGUCAUUAAUCACAUCUAACUUGCUAAAUGUCAUUUUCAUUAAAUUACAAUCCAACAUGCGUAUAUGCUUUAUAAUCUCAUUGAUCCUUCAAAGAUUCAUCUUUAUUUGAUCAUUGCAUAUUAUGUAAUACCACAAUUCCCAAAAAUCACCCCUAUUUCUUGAUUAUCUUUCAUACCCUUAACAUAUAUAUAUAUAUAUAUUAUAUCCUUAUUGCAUUUUGAUUUUAAUAUGUCACUUAAGACUUAGAUUCAUUCGAAUUUGCAUGCCUCAAGCAUUUCCAAAUUCCAAUUUCCAUAAUAUAUUAGGAGUUUUUCAUUAUCCGACUUCAUUAUCAAGGUUACCUUUAGUCGUCUUUUGUACCAUUCUUUCAUACUAAUAUAACACCAUUCUCCUUUAGCCAAUUUACAAUUUGUACUUAAUAUUGCAAGACUUCAAACAAGGUUCUUCUCAAAUACUUCUCAAUGUCAAUACGAAUAUCACUUUCAGCUUACAGCUUCCUUUUUGUAACCAUAAAACUUAAUACUUGUUUUCAUAAGAUUCAUAGUAGGAUUCCUCUUGAGUAUUUCCUUAUGGAUACCUACCUUAGACUUAUGUUUCACCGCAUAUGAUCGCUUAACCCAUGGUUUAGCCGUUAGGCUCCUUAGCAAGUUUCAAAAUCCCACAUAUUAUACUUGCCGCGUAUGUUUAGUAAUUUCUUCUUCUCCCCCACUUAGACUGACCAUACACUCCUCCUUCUUGACUAAUUUCGACAUCAAAUAAAAUAUUAAUAUUUUAAUAUUAUUUUAUUAAUAAAAUAUUAAUUUAUUCUAAGAUUUUCCAUUUAUCUCCUUAGAACCCGAAAUGUCUUAUUAUGCCUCGAUUCACUUCCGAAUCACUUUUUAUCUCACUAAGUUAUCUUCAAUAAAAAUAUUUUUAUUUAAUUAUUAUUUCCUCGCGUACAAAAUAUUUUAUUUUAAAAUAUUUCUUUCACCCGCCAUCACUCUUUGACACUUAAAUCCACGUCAAUUAGCCCUUCAUCUUGUAGGUAAUGCCUUAUUGACUUCUAUACAAGGGUAUGGGGUAUCAUAGUUUUCUUUAAAUCUUUUGAACUUUUCAUUUUUCCAAAUUCAUCUAAUCCUUCAAAGAUUCAUUCCCCACUUUUGUUUCAUUCUCUUUUGCUUUUCAAGAUCCGAAUUGCCCAUUUAAAAUCCUUAAUUUCCAUCCACUAUAAGCAGGGUAAUUUUGCUCAUUUUUAAAUCAUUCCAAAACCUAGAAACUUAGUUCUAUAGUGAAUAGUUGAUUCUCCAAGUUUCAUAUUCGAUCUACGCUUUUCAUAGUCGAUUAUUCUCUUCUUCUAAUUGAUUUUCACUUCAAAAUUCCAUCAAGAAUUCCUCGUGGUGCCACCCAAAUGUUACAAAAUGAUUGCUCAAAGGGUUUAAAUAAGAUAUUUUGCUUUAAAGUUUCAAGAUGAAAAAUUUUUUGAUGUUGAUGCUUAUAAUCACUGUAAGAAUCUCAUUUCUUUAAGGACUAUCUACCAUGGUCGGGUAGUUGAUCUUGAAUUUCUUGAAAAGUUUGAUUUUCCCUAUAUUGAGAACUUGAAGAAUUUGUGUUGUUAUGAUUAUCUAAGUCUAAAUAUCCUUGUGUUUGAGAAAUCAAUUAAAGUCUUUUGAAGUAGACAACCCCUACUCACCUUUCUUGGCGGGAUAUUACUUUCCCAAUUUAAACUCUUUUCAUUCUUAAUCAAUCAAUAUCACUCGCCGUUAAACCAUUACCCUUCUUGACUUACACGCACGACAACAAUCCUUUACUUGUCAAUUUUCAGCAGCAAUUAAAUUGAAAAUACUUAGCAACUUUAUAAUUUAUUAUAUCCCACACUUGCUGUCCACACUUAGCUUUAUGCUUUUAUAGCCUAUUCUUUAUUCCCCAUUCUCAUUCAAGUACUGUAACACCCGUACCCUCGUAUAGGAGUCAAUAAGACCUUAUCAACAAGAUGAAGGGUCAAUUGAUGUAAAUUUAAGUGCCAAAGAGCAGUGACAGAUGAAAGGAAUAUUUUGAAAUAAUUAAAUAAUAAUUUUUUUAUCGAGGAUGAAUUAACAAGUUAAAAGGUGAUUUGAAAGUGAACCGGGAUAAAGUGAGACACUUUGGGGCCCUAGGAGACAAGUGGAGAACUUUAGAAUAGAAGAACAUUUUAGUAAUAAAAUAAUAUUAAAUUAUUAAUAUUUUACCUAUUGUUGAAAUUAGUCAUGAAGGAGACUAUAUAGCUAAUCUAAGUGGGGGAGUAAAAGUAAGAAAGAAUUUCAAAGAAAAACGACAUAGGUGGGGCCCGCGUGUCUUUAUUAAUAAAGCAAGAACGAGUAAGUAUAUAUUUAAAAAUUAUGGUGACACCUUGGUGGAGUGUAAAUUUGAUAUUUUAUUUGUACAAGUGUAAAGGAAGAAAAAUAGAAGGAAAAUGGGAAUUAAAGGAAUGAUGGGAGGACCCAAUUGUAAAGGAUAAAAAGUUUUGAGUGUCAAAUGGUAAAUAAGGAAAAUUUUGAGGACUUUUGUGCAUUAUCAACAUUUGAAGUUAAAUGCGAAUUAACUAACCAAUAAAAAAUUAGAUUAUGUGGGAGGAUGGAAUAUGCAUGUAACAAAUACUAUUACAUGCAAAGAUAUGCAUGCAGGGAUGUACUUGUAGUGGGGAACAUGUGGCACCCCCACCAUGUGACAAACAAGAAAGGCAUAAGACAAAAUGAAUAAGAUAGUACAUGCAUGAUGGACACUUGGUGACAAUUAGACUAAAAGAAGAGAAAAUAUAGUUGCAUGUAAUGUCAUUGGCCAAAAGGGAGGCCAAAUGGAAAUUAAGGUGGGAAAGUUGCAUGAAAGACCAUUGGGCAUAAAUAAAGUUGAAUUAAGUGGAAAUAAAUUGAAGAAUGGAUAUGGAUAGUAAAGGAGGAUUUUUAACCAAUGUGGAUGAAAGGCGAUCGGUGCAUGAAAACCUAUUAGUUGGCAAAAUGGCCAGAUGAAAAUAAAAGGUGAAUUGGUGCAUGUGCUAUGAUUGGUUCAAGGGGGUGUCCAAAUAAAGAAGAAUAAAGAGGAAAUGGAUGGCUAAACAGUGAUACAUGUCUAAGGAAGGAUAACACCUAUUCUUGUACAAGUUUUUUUUGAAACCGUGGAGAAAGAAAAGAUUUCUUGCCAUUUCUUCCAACUCACCCAUUCUUCAAACCUUAGAAUCUCAAAAGCACACAUGCACACAUGUUUUAAAAAGUGAAUGAAGGACAUUUGAAGAGAUGUCAUGUGGGUUUCAAGGCAUUCUAGAGAAAGAAAAGAGAGCAAAGUGCUAAAGGCUCAAGUUGUGAGGAUCCAAGGAAAUCGUGGGUUCUUUGCUCUUCAUUGUUGAGUUUAGCAUCUUAUCACCGAGAAAGGGAUCUUCAACAUGCAAAAGGGGAACAAAUUUGUUGAGCUUGAAGAGAGAUAAAAGCUUGGUUUCAAGAGACAAGAGAAACAAGGUAAGGAUUGUGCUUUUAGCUUGAAUAUUCUUUGAAAAUGGGUCAGUAACAAUGAGAAAUGUUUUGUGGCAGCUUGUUGAUAAAACCUUUGGAAGAAUAUUGAUGUUGCAUGCAAGAUCCAAGCCCUCACAAAGGUAAGGCAUGCAAUGUGAAAUGAUUGUGUGAUUCCUUUAGUAGGUUAGGAAACAAUUGUGUUAGUUGAAAGCUUGAAAAAGAACUUGUGGACAUAUGUUGUUUUGAAAUAUUUAAGAAGGUUAAGGAUGUUGGUGCAACAUGAAUGGAAAACUUGAUAUUGUGCUUAGUGGCAGCAUGUUUAAUGUGAAUAAUGGUGCAUAUAAGCUUAGAAAUUACUUGAUGAAAUCGGAUUUAUAGUUGCUACCAUAUAUGUGAUUAAUAGUAUGAAAAUAAUAGUUUGAACAUGACAAAUGUUAUUAGAAGAUUGAAAUGGGCAUUUGAAGUCAUAAACAAAUUGUCGGGUUUAUGUAAUUCAAAGUUUACACUAAGGAUUAAGUGUAAACGGUUAUCUCUUAUGAAUAAGAGAUGAAAGUAUAGAAUUAAAUGCGAACAACAAAUGUAGAAUAUAUUGGCAGCAAAGCUUAUUAAAUGUAUUGAAUUGAAAUGAUGUCAGGAAGUUGACAAAGCAAGGAUUAUUGCUGCAAGCAUAAAGUAAGCAUUUAAGGAAAUGUUAGUGGCGAAGUAAUAUCUUGCCAUUUUAAGGGGAGUAGGGGGUGUCAAUUUUAAAUGAUUCUUACUAUAUCAAAGUUUGUAUAUAGUAUUAUCCAAAGGCUUUGUGGAAAGCAUGAGUUGCUAGAAAAUGAUAAGUGAUUUGAAUACAUGGUUUGCAAUGAUUUGUACACUACUUUUGUGGAAAGCAUGAGUUGGUAGAAACCAUAGGCAAUUGUGGACGAAAAUUGAUUUGGAAGUUGUUUGUGCAGACUAUAUAUAUAUACACAUAUAUGUAAAGUGUUUUAGAAAUUGGGAAACAAGCCUUUUUGUAAUGUCUUGCAUCAAAACCGUGCCUUGAAUCUUUGUGAAGUGUCCAUAGAUGAUUGCACUUGAUAAAUGGCUUAAAUUUGAUUUCUUGUGAGCCAGUUUUUGUUCAAACUUUAUUAAAAGUUUACACCAUGCAUUUUAAUGUGAAAAGCAAUUUUGAAAGGUUACCGAACCUUGUUUUCAAUGGAUUUAAGGAAAAACUCUUGAAAACCUUGAUUUGGUUUUGAAAACGGUUUCGACAAAUCGAGAGCUUCAUGUCACAGCCUAGUUUUCGAGCCAUGACUGAUGCCUAGGGCCAAUGGGCACAGCUAGUUAAGCCCAAGCAAGCCUCUUUAAGAAUUCCUGUUUAUCAUUUCAUUACGUUACCAUUCCUAAGCCACGAAUUUCAAUUAUCAACUAUGCAUAUUUCAGAAAUAUACAUGGUGACCAAGUAUUUAUAUUUUUAUGGGCCCAAAAUACAAUCAUUCAUUGCCAUCUAAUUGAUGGGUUUGGCUAUGGAUGGCAUGCUCAAAAUACGCAGCGGAAAGAAAACUAAAACUUUAUAACUAAACGACAAAAAACAUGCCUCCACCCAUUGAUUACCUUGGUGAUAUUUAACACAUAAAAGGACAAAAUAAAUUAUUAUUUAGAAAGUUACCUUGCCAAGUAACUUUGUAAUCACAAGGGCACUUUCCGAAGUAAUCUCACGAACACCACAAGGAGCAAAAAACCCUAGCCAAUCAAGUGCUUGGCCUCAAUGGUAGUACACACGAUUGCACUUGAACCUGCAACAAAGGAGGAAGUUUUUAACUAUACUUUGUGCUAACAAAGAGGACAACAAUUGUCCUUUUCUUCUUUUUCACAAUCUUAGCCGAACCUCUCUUGAAAUUGCUUAAUAAGCAAUUUUCUCUUUCACACAAAGGGAGUGGUGGCAAUGAAAGAAAACAUUUUUCAUUUUCUAAUAAAAACUACGUUUUCUUCAAUUGUUAAAAACUCUCAUAUGGAAAAUAAUUAAAAGGUGACUUAUAUAGUUAGGUUAAAAUAACUUCAAUUUUGUAAUUAAGACCUCAACAUUAUAACAAAUUAUAAUAUUGGGCCCAUUACUUAAUUCAACUCUUUUAAUUAAGUCCUAGGAAAUUAAAAUCAAAAUGAAUUUCAUUUAUAUUUUGCAAUCAAGGCCUUAUACUUAUAACUAUUUAUAAUUAUGCCAAAAACUUAUUUAAACUCCUUUAAUUAAGUUUAUAGAAGUUAAUUAACUAGCAUGUGAUUUAAGUCUAACUUAAAUCGUCACUCUCCCAAUUUAAUUCAAAUGUAAUCAUUGUGUGUGACCUAUUACGUUCCUAACAUGUUGGCAAUGGAAUUGCUUAAUGACUUAAUUGAUCUAUAUAAAUUUCAAUCAAUUAAUUUAUAAUCAAUUCCAUAGACCAAGAUUGGCAUCUAGCAAUGCAUCAUGGCCACCCAAUUGUUGGGAGAGUCAAAGGGUUCUUUGACAACCUUUCAGUGUACAGUCUAUCAUUGUAAUUCAUUCCCUCAUUAUAUAUCCCGGAGAUGAUAAGAGCUUGGUACAGUGUCUACUCUUAUUGACCUCUAAAUUUGUUCCUGCAAUUAUAGCACUAGCUUUAUAGAGAGUUAUGAAACCUUUUUCAUAAUCUCCAUUUCGACUUGGCCAAAGACUUCAAUAAGCUAAUGUUAACCAAGAAUUGAUAGGAUAUGUCUUCUAAAACACUUGAGGUGAUGAUUCUUAUCUUGACCACUCAUUUGCCUUCACAUGCUUCAUACUAUACCCAAAAACAUCUUAUUUUGGCAUCCUUGGUUACGCACCUUUAGGGAUGAAAUCAAAGCAUAGCACUCCCAACAUAAGACAACCUGGUGUCUCAAGUUUAAGGAAUAUUUACACACUAACACAUGAGAAGUGUUGCAUAGACACUAGAGUCUAUUACCAAAUGCACUUCUCAUGGCCGGUCAUGUUCAGUGAACUUGCUCUCCUAGGCAAGUACCUAUAUUCUAGUUUCAAGUAUCUUUAUACUUCAAUCUAGGAGAUCGAUUGCUUACUUCCAAAGUAAGGAACAUAGAAUAUUCCAAUCUCUAAGCAUCAUUGAUGUCCAAUCUCAAUGAUACAUUGAUGAGGAAUAUUUUGAGAUUAUGCUUUGAUGCAUAGGAAUCUCAUAACUGUAACCCAUUAUAGUUUCCUUGGAAGGCAUAUUAAUCUCAUGGACUUCAUCCAAUUAGACUUAUAACUCAUUAUAAUUAAUAUCUUAUUGAUGAAGGAAAACCUCUAAUCAUUCAACAUGAAUGAUACUGUUGCAUGAUUGGAAUCAAGCCUCAACCAAACCUAAUUGGUUGCAGAGCUCAUCCCAACACUAAUAAUGGCAUCAUUAAUCCAAAUAUACAUUUAUUGUUUGUAACCUAAAUCUUAACGAUUUACAUCGAGUAUAUAUGUACACAUACAAAACACUCCUGACGACUAGCAGAGUGACCUUGGGUGAGGCUACGGCUACUGAAUGCCAACAUACCUACCGAAAGGGGACUACACGCGAACGCCUCAAUCUAGGUUCCAACUGCCUUUGAGUCUGAAAACAUGAAGUUUAAAAAAGUGAGUAUAAACCCAAUGAGUGAGCAUAGGAAGGGAACAAGCAUUGAUACAGGAAGUUUUAGAAAACAUAGUGCACUUAUGUUGAAAACGAUGUAAUUUAGCUCAAUUUCUUGUUAAAACCCCUUAAUUCAACUCUUGAUCAUUUAGUGCGUUAGUAUUGAAGAAUCCAUGAUCAAUAAAGAAGUUAAAGAGUGAAAGUACAGUAGAGUUCAAGCAAGGCAAGCAUAGCAAGUUAAAAAGUUAAAGAGCGAGGAUGCCUUUUCGUUGUAGUGAACUUUAGGGCAAAAAUUAUCCCAACAACCUGAGAGUUUCUAGCUACAGGGAAAAUGCAUUUUCGCUACAGCAAAAAUUGGGACAGCAUUUUACCCAACCACCCGAUAGUUUCUCGCUGCAACAAGAAUGCAUUUUCGCUGCAGUGAAAACUCGAGCCAUGAAAUUCCCCGCACCUGAGAGUUUCUCGCUACAGCUAGAAUGAAUUUAGUUGUAGAGAGAAAUAGGGCAAUUAAGUUAGAAAAAUUCUUGUCACGAUGAAAAUCCAUUUAUGCUGCAAUGAAAAACAAUUGAAAAACAUUUGUCAAAUUUUAACAUUCAAUAAUCAAUGCAAUCACAAUAUAUAUUCUCCAUAACCUCUCUAUAUAUAACAUAUAUAAACAUACAUACGACCAUCGGCGUCACCCCAACUCCUCCUCAACUCAUGUGCACUCCCACACCGCACACAAUUGGGUCAUCAUCAGCUCAAGUGCACUCUUACACCACACAUGGCUGGGUCAUCAUCAGCUCAUGUGCACUCCCACACCGUACAAAGUUGGGUCAUCAUCGGCCAUGUGCACUCCUACACUGCACAUAGCUAGGUCAUCAUUAUCACACCACAGUAACAUUUAAUGCAUAACAUACUUAUCGACAUAAUGUGGGAACACAUUAACUAAUCGCAUUGCUCAUCUCAUAUUAUAAGAACAUUUCAUCAAGGGCUUGUUCCCCAAGUAUAAUUUUAAGUAGAAAAAAAAACAAAUAAGAUUUUUCAAAUAACUAAUUCAAACACAUAUACAUUUUCUUAAAACAAUUUAGAUGCAGGUUCACUCACAAUGUUUUUGUUGAUGCUUUGAUCGACUUUAACUGCGUCUAAUGCUCCAGAUGGAGAUGGGAGGCCUCGUUGGAACCUUGGUAGAUUUGUAAUUAAAUUCCUUCUUAAAAUUUCUCAAGCUAUUAUAGAAAGUCUCUCCUUCUCUUUCUAAAACACCUAGCUAGUGAGAGAAAGUAUUAAGGUAAGACUUUUGAGGGUUUUAAGAUGAAACAGUAAAAGAGCACAAAAGACUUUGUGCAAAGGUGCACAAAAGCAAGAAAAUUAGGGUUUAACUUGAGAAAGUCAUGGAGGUUUUUAAGGAGGCUUCCACGGAAGAUAAAGAACGUGAAAUGGAGAGAAAAGAUGGGAAGAAGAAGAAUAAGCUGCUGGAAAUUUUUUAUAUUUAUCUUAUAGUUGACUAAAGUUCCUUUUAUUUACAAAAAUGCCAUUCAAUAAUUGACUUUGCCUUCUUCCACUUAGUUCAAACUUUUUACUCUUUUGACAGUCAAAAAAAGUCCAUAAUAGAUUAAACGUACUCGGGUUCAUGAAAACUUAAGAUUUUAGACCCGAGACCUAAAAUAACCAUUUUGCCCCUACCAUGGAAAUUAUCGUUAUUUCUAUUUUCUUUACUUAUUUUGUCAAGCCCUACUCUAUUAUAUACUUGUCAUGUCAUUCAUGUGCUUGAUAGAAUGUUUGCAUAAGUGAAUGUAUCGAAAAAUCGUUAAAAGUCGGUAUUGUACAUAGUGGUAAAAUUAAGUUGAUUAAAGCCUCGAACUGGGUCAAACAAAUAUUUUACAAUGUAUUUGAAAGUUAUUGAAUCUUAAAAUGUCUUAAUAUGAUGAUUUGAAAUUCGAGGAUUGAUUUGGAGUUAAUUUAGGAAUUUUCAUAACGUAGGGGCAAAAUGGUCAUUUUGUCACCCAAGGGUAAAAUUGGAAUGUUGGAUGAUAUUUUGACUAAAUUUGAUUAAUUAGAGCAUCAUUUGAAUUUGAGAAGUGAAAAUUUUCAAUUUCGACAUUUUUCCAAACAUAGGGGCAAAAUAGUCAUUUUAAGUGUCCAUGAGGACAAAAUUGGAAAUUUUUGAAUUUUACACCACUAUGACACUUGUCAAACCCAUGAAUUUCAUCCAUUAUUUCUUUAAGUGAGAGAUUAUAUGUGGUGGGAAUGAAAUGCUUAAUUGUUAAGUUUUUAAACAUGCACCAAUGAAAAGGUAACAAGUGUCAAGCUUUAAUGUUAUUUUAAUUGCCUAUAUAAACUCACUUAAAACCCUCACAUUCACACUCUUAUGGCCGGCCACGCAAGGGAACAAAGAGAAAAAGAGAAGAAUAAACCUGAGGAAGAAAAAAAUUCAAGAGAAAUUGUUGGAUUUCAAGGAAUCAAGCAAGUAAAGGUAAGAUUUUUUAAUUUUAGCUUGUGAUCUACCUCUUCUAUGCAUUCUUUUUCAUUCUCCAUGGCUGAAAUUCAAGUUUUCAAGAGGGAACCUUUGCUGGCUAAAUCUAGAGAGAGAAGUUUUGAUGAUGAAUUUUGCUAGAUUUCAUAAUAUCCUAGUGUUUUUAGUCAUUUUGUGAUAUUUGGAAGGAAAAACAAGCAAGAAAAUCACAUGUUCUUCAACCACCCUUGUUUGGCCGAAUUUUCUAUAAGACAUGUUGAUGAUGGAUUUGGUUGUACAUCAUGUUAUUUAGCUAGGAAUUGAUGAUUUAUGGUAUCGAAUAUCGAAAUCAAAAUGAAUUUCGGUUACGGUGAAUUAAGUCACAAUUAAGCUCAUUGAGGUACUUUGGUGUGUAUUUGGAAUAUUGGAAGUGUAAUGAAGAUAUUUGGAGUUGAAUUGGAUGUUUUGGCUAAUUAAAUAAGGCAUAGUGCGAGUUAGGUAGAAUGCCAAUUCAUUCCGAUCAUAAUUGAAUCCACGUAGAACACCAUCUUUAAGUGAUUAUUCGAACAAUUCUCAUUCAAUGUCAUGCAUUCUUAUAGAGCUUAAAAUAGUUUUAUAACAGUUUGGCACAAAUAUAUUGAAUUACGCGUCGUGUAUUAUGUAUAUGUGGUAAACCCUCUAAUAAGGGUAAAGAUAUUAUGCCCAGGGACCAAGAAUAGAAGUACGCUAAACUCCUGCUAUUGUGAGUAAUCAUAUGUUUAUCUUAAUUAUCUAAAGUGGUUUAUACUUGUUUUAAGAUUUUAAAAAAUAUGGCACUUAAUUUGCAAAUUAUUAUGUUUUACAUUUUAAAUGUUGGUUAAAUGAAUGAGAUUUAUAAAUUAUUCUGAAACUAAAUGUUGAUUUUCGAAAAAGAGUAAGUGAAGGCUAUACAUUCGUAUUACGUCACGACCCGAUACUCUCCUCGAGCCCGUGACAACCAUCGCGAUGUUCCGAUAGACAUUCAUUAUCCGGAAUGCCAAUCGAAACCCCGCAAGGCUUUAAUAUCAGUUUUCUCACCUCCCCUGCAAGCAACAGUUGAUAGUAUCAUAUUUUAAAAGAUUAUAAGCUAUUUGCAAACCAAACAACAAAGAAAAUAAUUUUCGUCUCACAAAGGUAUUUUGGUCAUUUUUCCUCGAAAAUUUCAAAACCAUCUAAAAAUGUAGUAUAUGAGUGAAAGAUACAUAUUUCAUAACCAAAAUAAGUUUAGAUGUGUAAAACAUUCAUUUAAAGUGAAAUGAUAGCUAUUAGAAUAAAAUAAAAAAAUUGAAUAAAAUAUUCCAUUUUCUUCUAAAACAAUUUUUAUAGAGAUAUCCGUAAAUAAAUUUUAUAGCGUAAAAGCAAAAUAAAUUCGUACAUACAGUAACACAGAUAACUAGAGUAUGUAAUUUAAUUUACAAUGAUGUAUGGACCCCCGAAUGACCAAAAGUAACGAAGGUUGUGAACCUACGAUUUUUGAGGAUGCAAAUCCAACUGUAGCCCUUGACAAAAUCAACUAUCUACUGACUAUCCUGAGCCUGGAAUGAGUGGAAAGGAGGGUGGUGAGUUUGUAUAAACUCAGUGAGUAAACAAACACCAUCUAAAAUAUCUAAAGUCGAGUAAAUGGAGACGAUUAAAAUAGAUCAUCAUAAGUUGGUUCAUAACAUCAAAACACAUUUCAAAUAAUCUAAACUAGUUACAUUUCAUCCAAAAUAUACAACAAGGCUUAUGAAUCUCUUAAAAACUUGGCUCGUGCCAAAACUCAUUCUUGAGGAUACUUGGAUCAGAGGAAUCCAACCGUGAUCGCCAAGGCUAUUUAAAAAGUCAUAUACGCACAAAACACAUUUUUACGUUUAAAAGCACAGUCAUUCCUUGGCGUUGGUUGAAUUCACUCUCACGUGGUGGUUCGGGGUGAAGUGAACUCUAAACUUGACCUCAAGAGUUACCCUCCGUGCCUUUCGUACCAAGGUAAAAUAAAAUGUAAUGGGAUUUACCAUGCCCCUCUAAUAGACUGGUCCACAAAAACUCGCCCACUGCAGUAAACUAAUCGAUAUCCCACCAAAUUAAUAAAAUUUCAACAGCAUGACGUGGCAAUUAUUUUACAACACAGCAUGUCAAGGCAAAACAAUAGUUCAUAUACGUUUAGCAUAAUUACCAAUCUAGCCACUCAUGCCCACAUUAUCAUAAGCCAUUCAAUUCAAACCAUGAUUUAUAACACAGCAAGUAGUCUCCAAUUACUCCAUUUUCAAAACCAUCAUCCAAUUUCAAGACAAUUUUUAUAAAAUCAUUUCAUUUAAUCACAUUUUGCUUAUAAAACAUAAAUAUUUACCAUUUAAACUCAUUUUCCAUAAAAUCACAAAAACGAAUUAAAAUCCACUUCAGAUAAUCAAGAUGAUGAUAUGGUUACUCACUGUAAUGGGAAUCGAAUUCGGGAUACUCUUAUUCUUGAUCCUCGGAUACUACCUCUUUACUCUUGCCAGAAUGCUCACCACCUAGACAUAAUGCACAAUAAGCAAUUUGCUACAUUUGUGCUAAACCAUUGUAAAACCAAUUCAGGCUCUAUACUAAUGCAUGAAAUAAGAUGUGAAAUACUCGGGUAACUAUCUAAAUAUGGUGUUCAAUAUAAAUUCAAUUAUGUACCUAAAUAAAAUAGUAUUGGCCUAAUUCGAUCUAUCACUGGAUUAAUUGGCCAAUACGUCCAAUUCAUCUCUAAACAAUUCCAUUUCUCUCCCAAUACUCCAAAUCAUUAAACACAAUUUAAAUAACUUGAAAUGUGGCAAAAUCAUCCUCACAUUUUCUCUUGAAAAUUUCGGCCAUGGUGAGUGCACUAAUAAUAUAAUUUUUCAUGCUUGAUUCUCACACUAUAACUCAUUCAUUCCUAAUCAAAUCACUUGCAAUUCAAUCAAAUUCAUCAUCAAUAUUCCACAUGGAAUAUUCAGCCAAUGAAGGUGAUGUACGAACAUGAAUUUUUCUUGCUUGAUUUUCAUACUACACAUCACCAAACAACUAAAAACACUAGAAUAACAUAGUUUCUAACUAAAUUCAUCAUCGAAUUCUCUCUCCUAAGGUUUGAUCAGCACACUAUCCUUCAUGAUAUCUUGUGAUUCAACCAUGGAAAAUGCCAAAUAAUGCAUAAGAAAGGUAAAUCACAAGCUAGAAUUAAGAAAUUUUACCUUUAAUGGCUUUAUUCCUUGAAAUUUGAUGAAUUUCUUAGCUAGGGUUUCGUUCUUCUUCUUUUCUUCCCUUUUCUUCCUUUGACCAACCAAGAGAAAUGAGUUGGGAAGGUUAUGGGCUGAUUUUUAAAGCCAAAUAAUAAAUGGAUGAAAUUUUACACAUGUCACCAUUCCAUUGGCCCAUGUGUCAUACUUACCCAUUAAGCAAUCUCUCUCCACCAUUUAAAAUUCCUCAAUUAUCCAUAAUAAUAAUGGGUGAAAUUCAUGUGCUAGACAAGUGUUGGGUGGUGAAAAAUUCCAAUUUUGCCCUUGGGCGGCAAAAUGACUAUUUUGCUCCUUAUGCCCUAAAAAAUGUCAGAAUUAAAAUUUUUCACCUCUCAAACUCAAAUUAUGUUCUAAAUGGUCAAUCUUGGUCAAAAAUGUCUUCCAACAUUCCAAGUUUAACCUCAGGUGGCAAAAUGACCAUUUUGCCCCUACGUUAUGAAAAUUCCAAUUUGACUCCAAAUCAUUCCUCGAACUCCGAAUCACCAUUUUAAGUCAUUAUGGUGUUUUAAAAUUGUCAAUUUCAUCUUAAAAUCUCUAUUUGGACUAGUUUGAGGCUUAAUUCAACUUAAUUGUACCAUUUGGUACAUUGUUGUCCUUUAACAAUUUUCGAGGUACCCAAGUAAGCAAACAUGCAUUCUUAUGUAGAAAUGGCGUAAUAAACAUCUUAUGGAGCCGGGCUUGACAAAAGGUUAAUGGCUUCAAUUAUUCCCACAUACUUCAUGUUUACCUAUAAUUUAGGAAAUUUCAAUCUUCUUAAUCCUAUUAGUCCAUCUCAUAUGGCUUAAUCGUACUAUAGAGUACAUUUUCUUUAAUUAUUUCCCCAAAACUCCUUAAGUCGCCAUAAGUCAACUUCUCACAGGAUUCUUGAUUGUUACAUUAUCUAUGCAACUAAUCAAAUAUAUUGAGUUCAAGUCUCGAACCACUAAGAACCAUUCUUCACUUUAGUUGGGUACAUUACUAACUCCACACAUACAUAUGCACACGCACAUUCAGACGUCCAUAUUCCUCAUUAAGUAUAAGGGUCCUUAUUCUCAAGUGCCUUCAAACUAAUUUCCCUUUGUUCAUUCCCAUCCAUAACCAAGAUUCAAUAGAAUAAUCUUCAUAAUUCAUGUCAAAAUUUUCAUAUUUAACUUACAAACAUUGGGUAUAGUCCAUUCCAGAUUGCUCUCUUUAUGUCUAUACUUAGCUUCACGUCAUAUACACAUUUUUACUCUUUUCUUAUCAAUCCCAAUUAUAUACUUAAGCUUCCUUGUACUAUAUAUCAUUGCAUCACAAUGUCAUUUUCAUUGAAUUGCAAUCUAAUAUGCAUGUAUGCUUUAUAAUGUCAUUGAUGCUUCAAAGAUUUUUCCUUGACUUGAUCAUUGCAGUUAUGCAAUACCAUAAUUCCUAAAAGUCAUCCUUAUUCCUCAAUUAUCUUUCAUGCCUCUUACAUAUAUUGUAUCCUUAUUGCAUUCCGAUAUUGAUUUGUCACUUAAGACUCAGACUUAUUUGAAUCAUGUAUGCCUCAAGCAUUUUUCGAAUUCCAAUUCCCAUAAUAUAUUAGGAAAUUUUCAUUAUCAAGGUCAACUUCAAUCAUCUUUUUUUCUAUUUUUCCAUACUAAUGUGACAUCAUUCUUCUUGGACCAAUCUGCAGUUUGUACUUGGAAUUGCAAGACUUAAAACAAAGUUCUUCUUAAGUACUUUUCAAUGUCAAUACGAAUUUCACUUCCAGCUUAUAGCUUCCUCUUUACAGCCACAUAACUUAAUACUUACUGUCACAAAAUCCAUAGUAAAACUCCUCUUAAGUAUUUCCUUGGGGAUACCUAUCUUAAACUUAUGUCUCACAGCAUGUGAUCACGUAACCUGUGACUUAGUCGUUAGGCUUCUCAACCAGUUUUAAAAAUCUCACAUUUCAUACUUGUCGUACAUGAUUAGAAAUUUCUUCUCAAAGAUGUUUGUGCAUUCCUAAAACAUUUAAUCUUUUAUUUACUCCUUAAUAUCUCGAGUAUGUCGUUCUAUAGACAUGCAUUUAUUCUUAUAGGUAUAUAAAUACGUACUCAUCCACUCAAUCCCCAACUCAUCUUCAUAGGUUUCUAGGGUAUCGCACAAUUGGCCUUGUGUUGUUACUAACCCUUUUCAUUUAACUGAGUCAAGACAAGAAUUGUAAAUUCUCAUAACAAUAUUCUAUAUAAAUUCGUUUUUUGUAUCGCCCUUGUAAUCCUUCAUUCACACUUCCAUCACUUGGUAUCUUAUCUCAAUGUAGCCAUCUCAAGAAUCUUUUAAUUUCUCUUUUAAUUAUAUGCCCAUAUACAAGGAGAUAAAGAAACUUUUCAAUUCAUUCAGGUUAACAUUCCUUAGAACAUUUAAAACUCCCAAAUAACAAAACUCAAUGACCAAUGACCGAAACUCAACUUGUAAGCUCAUUAUCAUGUCACUCCCAUCUUGCUCAUGCAUCAUCGACAUGAGAUAUUCGUAGCAUUACAGCGCUGGACAGUCAGUGCAGUAGCACUGUCAUUACUAGAAAUUCCCUCAUCAAAGCUAUUUGUCUGCAUUCAAGGUCACUAAAUCAAUCAUCCUCAAUCAUUAGGUUUCCCUUCUAGGCAUAUAUCAUGAAUUCCAUAAGCAUAGGUACCUUCUAUUUGCUAGUCAUACACACUAAGCCAAGUUAAUACUUUCAACUCAUGUCAUAUUUUGACUUUCAUCAUCAUUCAUGAAAUCCUACCUUAAAACAUCCUUUCCAUAUGGUGUAAUAAAUUCAAGAUACAUAUACCACCCCACACAUAAUUUGUUCACCGUCCACAACAUUCCUCAAAUUUAUUAUCGUCCAUAUCUAAUUAUCUUCCUUGUCAUGUAGUCCAAUAAUUUAUUGACUUUCAGUAUAAUAACUACGAAAACAGUUUGUCUUUCUCCACACUUUACACUUGCAAUCCUUAAUCAUCAAGAAUUUAUCUUUCUCAAGUUCCAUCAUUUACCUCCAAUGGACCAUAUUUGUGUCAGAUUAUCAUUUCAUAAUAUUAUGGCAUCAUUUUAUAAUUCCCUCCAUACUUAAAGUUAUGAUCCUUAACUUAAUCACAUUAAUCACUCAAAGUGUCGUCUAGAGCCUCAUUGAUCCCUUCCAUAUCUUUUCGAAUUGUAACUACAAUUAAGAUUCCCAAUUUCACAUCUCCAUGAUUGAUUGUUAGUCUUACCACACUGUCUCCUAAUAUCCUGUGCAAUUACAACACACUAAACCCGCUUAUUAUACAUAGUCCCUAGUUCAAUGUGUUUGCUCGGGAAUCAUCUUCUCUGAUACAAUUUGUCCCAUAAACCAGAAUUUUAUUUAGCUUUGCAUUCGGAAUCAUAUAAAAAACUCACAUACUACGAUAAGUAAUAAUUUUCAACAAACAUCAUCAACUCAAAUUGCCUUUUCUACCUCAUCAAAAUCUAUGGUUAUCACCCAAAAAGUUCAUCACGUUAAUCAGUAUCCAUUUCUUAGUACUGUAAAAUAUAUUCAUUAUUAAUUAGGGUAAUUGCUUGAAUCAUUAAUGACUUUCCACAUUAGUCUUCAAUAAUUAUCUAAGAUGAUCAACCUUGCCACUAAGAUAAAUAUCUUUCCUUAAUAGCCAUAAUGCUAAUCCACUUCUGUCUUACUGAAAGAUUCCGAUAUACAUCCAGUCACUUAAACAGCUACUUUAUAAUACAUUCUAGUCAUACACUUUAAAAGACAAACUAUUAACUUCUUUGUACAGAUAACUAUUAUCUCCUUUACAUUUCAUCUACCUAGAGUUAAAGUAGUACAAAAUCCCAUGAAAAUAUUACAUGUCAUUAAGAUCAUCAUCUUAAUCUGAACUUAUCGGAAGAUUCUACUCCAAGUCCUGUUUAAGAUCUUCUUCCGAGUCCUCCUUCUCCUCCCAAGAUUUUCUCCUUUGUUCCUCAAUCCAAGCCUGUUGUAUUCUCUUACAUUCCUCAUAACUCACAGGUGUAGCAUUUCUUCCACAAUCGAGAGGAAAAUGUCGUACAACAGUACCUUCCUAGGGCAGUGAUUUACAACAGUUACUUUCUCCUUAUUCUUUUCUUGUUGUUCCCUUACAUUACUCCCACAACUUGGAGGAAAGUGUCGAACAACGAAUACAGAUACCUUCCUAGGAUGAUAAUCCCCUUCGGCUAUCAUUAUUUUUCCCCUUUCUUUAGCGUAAUUCUUAGACUAUUUCAAAAGGGAAUUUCUCAUGCUUACAUUAAUGUCAUUACUAUCAGCAUCUUCAAUGGUCUUACAAAGGUCGAAGCUUUCUUUUUCACAAACCCUCAUCUCCAAAUCCGGUGGAAUCCAAUUAAUAGAAAUCCUAGGUGAGGCAUUUUCUAAACUACUUGGUUUGGGUUGCCAUCUGCUCCUAGUAGUAGAAUCUAGCGAUCCCUCGCUAAUACUAUGAGAGGCAUCGAGAGUACCGACUCUCUUAGACAUGGUGUGUGCAACUAGCGCACCGUAAAAUCUAUACGCAAUCAAACAGUAAAUUCUUUAUUAUUUACGCAUCACAAGAAUGGGUAGGUUUUUAUAUGCAAAUGCAUCCAUUCGACUCAACCUAACUUAACUUAACUUGGGGCCACACUGGCACUGUAAUUUUUAAAAUAACUUUAAAGCCAAAACCUCUGAUACCAACUGAAUUGUCACGACCCGAUACUUUCAUCGAGCCCGUGAUAACUGUCGCGAUGUUCCGAUAAACAUUCAUUACCCGGAAUGCCAAUGAAAACCCUGGAAGGCUUCAUAUGAGUUUUCUCACCUCCCUUGCGAGCAACAGUUGAUAAUAUCAUAUUUUAAAAGAUUAUAAGCUAUUUCCAAACCAAAACAAUAAAGAAAAUAAUUUUCGUCUCACAAAGGUAUUUUGGUCAUUUUUCCUCAAAAAUUUCAAAACCAUCUAAAAAUGUAGUAUAUGAGUCAAAGAUACAUAUUUUAUAACCAAAAAUAAGUUUAGAUGUGUAAAACAUUCAUUUAAAGUGAAAUGAUAGCUAUUAGAAUAAAAUAAAAAUAUUGAAUAAAAUAUGCCACUUUUUUAUAAAAUAAUUUUUAUAGAGAUAUCCGUAAAUAAUUUUUGUAGCGCAAAAGCAAAAUAAAUUCGUACAUAUAGUAACACAGACAACCAGAGUAUGUAAUUUAAUUUACAAUGACGUGUGGACCCUCGAAUGACCAAAAGUAACAAAGGUUGUGAACCUACGGUUUUUGAGGAUGCAAAUCUAACUAUAGCCCUCGACGAAAUCAGCUAUCUACUGACUAUCUUGAGCUUGGAAUGAGUGGAAAGGAGGGUGGUGAGUUUAUAUAAACUCAAUGAGUAAACAAACACCAUCUAAAACAUCUGAAGUCGAGUAAACGAAAACGAUUAAAAUAAAUCAUCAUAAGAUGGUUCAUAACAUCAAAACACAUUUCAAAUCAUCUAAACCAGUUACAUUUCAUCCAAAAUAUACAACAAGGCUUAUGAAUCUCUUAAAAACUUGGCUCAUGCUAAAACUCAUUCUCGGGGAUACUUGGAUCAGAGGCAUCCAACCAGACCACCAAGGCUGUUUAAAAAGUCAUAUAUGCACAAAACAGUUUUUUAAGUUUAAAAGCACAGUCGUUCCUUGGCGUUGGCUGAAUUCACUCUCACGUGGUGGUUCGGCAUGAAGUGAACUAAAAACUUUACCUCAAAAGUUACCCUUCGCGCCUCUCGUACCAAGGUAAAAUAAAAAUGUAACGGGGUUUACCGUGCCCCUUUAAUAGGCUGGUCCACAGAAAACCACCCACUACAGUAAGCUAAUCGAUAUCCCACCAAAUCAAUAAAAUUCCAACAGCAUGACAUGGCAAUUAUUUUACAACACAGCAUGUCAAGGCAAAACAACAGUUCAUAUAUGUUUAGCAGAAUUACCAAUCCAGCCACUCAUGCCCACAUUAUCAUAAGCCAUUCAAUUCAAACCAUGAUUUAUAACACAGUAAGUAGUCUCCAAUUACUCCAUUUUCAAAACCAUCAUCCAAUUUUAAGACAAUUUUAUAAAAUCAUUUUAUUUAAUCACAUUUUGCUUAUAAAACAUAAAGAUUUACCAUUUAAACUCAUUUUUCUAUCAAAUCACAAAAAUGAAUAAAAACUACUUUAGAUAAUUAUGAAGAUAAUAAGGUUACUCACAAUGUCGAGAGUUCGAAAUACUCUUAUUCUUGGUCCUCUACCACAAUGUCUUUACCCUUGUUAGACGACUCACCACCUAUACACAAUAUAUGACAAAUAAUUCAAUAUAUUAUGUCAUAUCAUUGUGAAUCUAUUUCAAGUUCUAUAUGAAUGCAUGAGGUUGUUUGGAUAGUCACUUAAAAAUGGAAUUCACGUUGGUUCAAAGGUGAUCGGAAUGGGUCAGUUUUCAACCUAAUUCGAACUCUUCACCUUUGAUUUAACCAAAACAUCCAAAUUGACUCAAAAUAAAUUCAUUUCACUUCCAAUAUUCCAAAUCAUCAAACAUAAGCUAGAUAACAUGAAUUAUAGCAAAAUCAUCCUCAACAUUUUCCCAUGGAAAAUUCGGCCAUGAUGGGUGCAUAAACACUAUGGUUUUUCACACUUGAUUUUUACACCAUAAAUCAUUAAUUCCUAACCAAAUAACUUGAAAUAAAAUCAAAUCCACCAUCAACAUACCAUAACGAAGAUUCGGCCAAUGAGGGUGAUGUAAGAACAUGAAUUUUUCUUGUUUGCUUUUUAUGCUAGACAUCACCAACCAACUAAAAACACUAGAAUAACAUGAAAUCUAGCUAAAUCCAAGAUCAAAACUCCUCCCCCCAUGUCUGACCAGCAAAGGUAUCCUUAUGCAAACUUGAUUCUCAACCAUGAAAAAUGCAAAAGAAUGCAUAGGAAAGGUAGAUCACAAGCUAAAAUCAAGAAAUUUUACCUUGCUUAAUUCCUUGAAAUCCACUAAUUUUCUCUUGAAUUUUCUAACUAGGGUUUUGUUCUUUCUUUCUUUCCCUUUUUCCUUGGUGAGGCCAAACAUGAAGAAUGAAUAAGAGAAGUGUGUGUUGGUUUUUAAUGUAAAUUAUAAAGAAAUGAAAACUUGCCACUUGCGACCAUUCCAUUGGUCCAUUUUUAAACUUAAUAAUUAAGUAUUCUCCCACCACCACAUAAAAUAUCUCAAUUAUCCAAAGUAUAAUAGGUAAAAUUCAAGGGCUUGACAAGUGUUGGGUGGUGUAAAAUUCCAAUUUUGCCCUUGGGUGGCAAAAUGACCAUUUUGCCUCUACGUCAUGAAAAUUCUAAUUUGACUCCAAAUCAAUCCUUGAACUCCGAAUCACCAUAUUAAGUCAUUCUGCGGUUUUAAAAUUCUAAAUUUCAUCUUAAAAUCUCUAUUGGGACUAGUUGGAGGCUUAAUUCAGUUUAGUUGUACCACUAGGUUCACUACCGACUUUUAACGAUUUUUCGGGCUUUCCAAGUAUGCAAACAUAUUAUCAAGCACAUGAAUGACAUGGCAAAUAUUUUAUAGAGUUGGGCUUGACAUAUUAUAUAUAUAUACAUGAUUUGAAUUGAUGGCUUAUGAAACUGUGGUAGCAUGAAUGGCUGAAAUUGUGGUUCUGUGAAUUAUAUCAAUUGUUUUGUCUUACAUUAACAGGUUGGAUAAUACUAUAUUAGCCAUGUUAUGCUACCGAAAUUCUAUUGAUUUGGUUGGUUAUGUAUUUAGCUUAUGCAGUGGGUGAGUUUCCGUGGACCAGCUUAUUAGAAGGGGCACGGUAAACCCUGUUAUAUUUACCUUAAUACGAGAGGCGUGGAGGGUAUCUCCUAACGUAAGUUUAGAGUUCACUUCACGUCGAACCACCACGUGAGGAUGAAACUCAGCCAAUGCCAAGGAAUGGCUAUAUUUUAAAAGUAAAAACAUGUUUUAUGGGUAUAUGUCGUUUUAACAUCCUUGACAGACUCGGUUGGAUGGUUGGGCCAAGGUGUCACCGAGUAUGAGUUGUGGCACAAGCCAAGUUUUUAAGAGAAUCAUAAGCCUUGUUGAUUAUUUUGAUGAAAUGUAAUUGUGUUAUAGGAAUUGAAAUGAGUUUUGAAUGUUAUGAACUAUAUUAUCAUGGGAUGAUUUAACUGUCUCCAUUUACUCGGCUUUAGAUGUUAUAGAUGAAUUUUGCUUACUCACUGGGUUUGUAAAAUCUCACCCCUUCUUUUUAUCCAUUUCAAGCUCAGGACAGUCUGUAGACAGUCGAUUUUGUCAAGGGUUGCUUUUAGAUUUAUAUCCUUAGAAAUCGAAGGUCUACAAUCUUCUAUAUUUACAGUUAUUUUGGGGCCCACAUGUCAUUGUCGAAUAUUUUGUAUACCUAGCUGCGUGUGCCACUGUAUGUAUGAAUUUAUUUUUCUUUUAUACUACAAAAAUUAUUUACGCUGAGUUCUAUAAAUAUUGUUUUAUAAGAAAAUAGAAUAUUUUAUUUAGUUUGAUUAGCCAAAAUUUCAUUUUAAAUGGAUGAUUUAGAUUACUAAAAUUAUUUUUAGAUAAGAAAUGUAUAUUUUUGGAUCAUAUAUUUUCACCAUGUUUCAAAUUUUUUGGGUAAAAAUAACCAAAAUACCCUUGUGUGGCAGAAAUUACUCUUCUUUGUUUUUUAUUUAAAAAUAGUUUAUAUUCCUUUCAAACAUGAUAUUUAGUAACUGUUGCUCACAGGGGAGACGUAAAAUUGAUGCAAGAGCCUUGUGAGGUUUUGGUUGACAUUUCGAGUAAUGAAUGUCUAUCGAGACAUCGCGGCGGUUGUCAUGGGCUCGAUGGGAGUACUGGGUCGUGACAUAUUUCAUUAUUGUAUGCAUCACUCAUUUAUUCCUUACGCCUACUUAGGCCUUAAUAAUAUCAAAAAACCCAUUUCUAAGAGCUCACCAAGGAAAAUGAUAAAAUUACCCCUAGUCUGUGUUAUCGCAUCUAUUCCUAGUUAUGUGUCGAUAGAGGUCAAGGUUUCACACUUCGAGAGUAGGCUAAAUGUCACAUUGGUGUGGUGUGACCCUUGAGCACAAGUUAGCUUUAGCUAGAGAACCUUUGGGUUGCUGACGGGCUGUUAAACAUGGCUAGGCCACGGUCUGUGAUUAUACAUGGCAAGGCCACAGGUUGUUAUACGUGGCAAGGCCAUAAGUUGAUAUACGCGGUUGCAACCACAUGAUAUCUCUGAUGUCGGCCAACAUCAUCGAGACUACCAUGGCUGUGUGAAUCUAGUCGAGGGGGACCUCUAGCUAGAAAAAAAGAACAAGAACCCUAGGGUGAAAAUUCAAGAGAAAAUUGGUGGAUUUCAAGUAAUUAGGCAAUCAAAGGUAAAAUUUCUUGAUUUUGACUUGUGAUCUACCUUCCCCAUGUAUUAUUUUCCAUUUUUCAUGGUUGAAUCACAUGAUUUCAUGAUGGGCAUCUUGCUGGCUGAACACUUAGAGAGAGGUUUUGAUGCUUGAUUUGGUUAGAUUUCAAUGUAUUUUAGUGUUUUUAGUUAAUUGGUGAUGUGUAGCAUGAAAAUCAAGCAAGAAAAAUUCAUGUUCUUCCAUCACCCAUCAUUGGCCGAAUUCUCCAUGUGGAAUAUUGAGGAUGAUUUUGAUUUUAUUUCAAGUGAUUUGGUUAGGAAUUAGAGAUUUAUGGUGUGAGAAUCAAGUAAGAAAAAUCAUAGUAUUGAUGCACCCACCAUGGCCGAAUUUUCCAAGAGAAAAUGUAAGGAUGAUUUUUGCCAUAUUAUUUGAAGUAUUGGGAGAAAAAUGGAAUUAUUUGGAGUUGAAUUGGACAUAUUGGCCAAUUAAUCGAGUGAUAGAUCGAAUUAGGCCAAAACUGUUUUAUUUAGGUGCACAAUUGAAUUUGUGUGGAACACUGUGUUUAGACGAUAAUUCAAACAAUUUACAUCUCAUUUUAUGCAUUAGUAUAAAGCCUAAAUUGGUUUUAUAACAAUUUAGCACAAAUGUAGUAAAUGGUUUAUUGUGCAUUAUGUCUAGGUGGUGAGCAUUUUGACAAAAGUAAAGAGAUAGUACCCGAGGAUCAAGAAUCGGAGUACUCGAAAUUCGACUCUCGAAAUAGUGAGUAACCUUACUAUCAUCUUAAUUGUCUAAAGUGGUUUUUAUCUGAUUUUGUGAUUUUAUGGAAAAUGAGUUUAAAUGGUAAAUCUUUAUGUUUUAUAAACAAAAUGUGUUUAAAUAAAAUGAUUUUAUAAAUUGUCUUGAAAUUGAAUGAUGGCUUUGAAAAUAAAGUAAUUGGAGACCAUUUGAUGUAUUGUGAAUUUAUGGUUCUAAUUGAUUAGCUUUCGAUAAUAUUGGCAUGAAUUGUUGAAUUGGUAAAUGUGCUGAAAAAGUAUGAACUGUUGAUUUACCUUGAGAGGCUGUAAAAUAAAAUAAUUGCCAUGUCAUGCUAUCGCAAAUUUUAUUGUAUGGUUGGUUUAGCUUGCUAUAGUGGGCGGGUUCUGUGGACCAGCCUUUUUAGGGGUACGGAAUCUUGUUAUAUCUUACCUCAGUUGGAGAGGUGUGUAAGGUAACUCCCAAGGUACAACUUUAGAGUUCACUUCACGCCAAACCACCACGUGAGGGUGAACUUAGCCAACGCCAAGGAACGACUAUGUUUUCAAAAUAAAAACAUGAUUUAUGCGUACAUAACUUUUUAAUAGCCUUGGCAGGCUCGGUUGGGAUAGCCCUCGGCCAAGGUAUCCCUGAUAACUGAAUAUGAGAAUGAUUUUGGCACGAGCCAAAGUUAUAAGAAAUUGAUAAGCCAUGUUGAUUACUCGAUUUAUAUGAAUUGAUUUUAUUUGGUUGAAAUGAGUUGAAAGGUGAUGAAUUACAGUAUGAUAAUCUAUUUUAAUCUGUCUCCAUUCACUCAGCUUUAGAUAUUUUAGAUGGUAUUUGUUUACUCACUAGGAUUAUAUAAUCUCAUCACCCUCCUUUCCACCCAUUUCAGGCUCAGGAUAGUCGGUAGAUAGCUCACUUUGUUGAAGGCUACAGUUGGA